Benincasa hispida (wax gourd) is the source of this 500-nucleotide long non-coding RNA. RefSeq lists it as uncharacterized. Lineage: Eukaryota; Viridiplantae; Streptophyta; Magnoliopsida; Cucurbitales; Cucurbitaceae. The record is from RefSeq and is a predicted model, not a curated record.
GGUUAUGUUUCUAUACCUUGAAGAAAAUUUCUGCAUUGAGCUUAAAUCUUCUACAUGCCUAUUUCAUCAGGCAGUGUCAAAGGGAACGUGGGAAACAAGAAACUGAUGUUAUACUUCUGUCCAUGGAAAAGUGAGGAAGAUAGAAUUGUAGAUAGAGGAUGUGCUAUACCUGUAAAAGCUCCUCAAUGACAUCUUCAAGUGUUAUGAUGCCGAUUGCUUCCCCCUCUUCAGAGAGCUUGGGCAACAGGUCAUCGGCAAUAUGCAAGACCUCUGAGUUGAGGUCUUUGGACCAUUUUUUACUUCCAGAGAACUUUCGGUAUCAUUGUCAAAGUGAAGAAGCCAAGUUAAGUAGAAAUGAAAAAGGAUAUGCAACAGGAAAGCAAAUACAAACAAGAACCCUUACAAAAGGGGUCACUGUUGCACCAAUUGCUAAACCAUAUCUAGAACAAACAGCUUGAGGAAUAAUCUGCAGAAAGGAAGCAACACAUAAGAACAUGCCC